UACAGAGGGUGCGAACGUUGCUCGGAAUUACUGGGCGUAAAGCGCGUGUAGGCGGCGCGGUAAGUCGGGUGUGAAAUCUUGGAGCUUAACUCCGAAACUGCAUUCGAUACUGGCGUGCUUGAGGACUGGAGAGGAGACUGGAAUUCAUGGUGUAGCAGUGAAAUGCGUAGAGAUCAUGAGGAAGACCAGUGGCGAAGGCGGGUCUCUGGACAGUUCCUGACACUGAGACACGAAGGCCAGGGGAGCAAACGGG
Molecule: ribosomal RNA, 253 nt
Filed under: uncultured bacterium
Lineage: Bacteria
Description: partial 16S ribosomal RNA
Rfam family: Bacterial small subunit ribosomal RNA
Source: RNAcentral